UUUGCUUAUUUAUUCUGCUGUCCUCUAAUUUUGGCAUUCAUCUAUUUCAGCAUGGAAAGUGCGUGUAAUCAAAGAUGCAUAUUAGGCUAUGUUUGUUAUUAUUCAAAAUUUAAACUGAAGCUCUUUGCUUGCUAUGGAAGAGUCUUUUUGUGGGUUGGUGGAUUGAUUUUUGGCAAAAGUCUCACCAGCCAUGGAUUCACGUUCGCAGCAGCCAAUGAUUAAUUGUUCAAGCUCAGGUCGUAAGAGAAAUAAAGAAAAUCAGACAGAUGGUUCACUUGCUGGUAGCCGUUAGCAAGGGUCUGGUAAUGCUCUAAAUUUAUUUCUGCCGAGACGCGCUAAAAAAAUUAAGAAAUCCAGAACCACCGGGAAUUCGUCAUCCUUUGACAAUAUCAGCUCAGGGAAAAAUGGCACCAAUCUAUCUCCCCUCUCCAGCGGUCGUCGGUAUGCAUUGGUUGCAGUAACAUGUGAAUCGGAAUAUAUUGGCAAAGUCACGGGUCGUACCCCGCUAUCAGCUGUAGACCAGAAUGCAUCCAAUCAAUCAAUCAGACGUUCUCCGUUGUGCAAUGUUGAUCAGAAUGCAGUUCCUGGCUUUGUGUUGGAUUCUACCAUCACAGGUAGUUAGCAAAUAAGCUGUGUUGGAUUCCAUUUUAAUUGUCCACCUUUAUAUUAAAAGGUAUAAAGGUAUAUGUAGUGUUAUGUUAAGCCAUGUUUGUGACCUAAUUAACUGUUGGUUUUAAGAAUUUGUAAAAACAUUUGCCAAUAAAAUUAGUUCAUAUUCUGUAGACAUGUCGUAAUAUGUAGUUGUGUUUUCUGACAAAAAAAUUUAAAGCAGUUAAAAUGUAUAAUCCGGGACAUUGUGCUUCAUCAACAUUUGCGGCUAUUGAGACUAUAUAGAUAUGUAACGUUCUCCGUUGUGUAACGUUCAUAACUAUAGUAGUUGUGUACAAUGUUGUCAUUUUCAAUUUGCCUGGCUGAUACCAGAAGUCCUAC
This is a long non-coding RNA of Daucus carota subsp. sativus, 990 nucleotides long. RefSeq lists it as uncharacterized. NCBI's taxonomy places the organism in Eukaryota, Viridiplantae, Streptophyta, Magnoliopsida, Apiales, Apiaceae. The transcript is spliced from 6 exons. The record is from RefSeq and is a predicted model, not a curated record.